UCGAGAAUCUUCCGCAAUGGGGGAAACCCUGACGGAGCGACGCCGCGUGCGGGAUGAAGGCCUUCGGGUUGUAAACCGCUGUCACAGGUUAAGAAAAGUCUGGCGUUAACAGCGCUAGGCUUUGACAAAGGCCUGAGAGGAAGCCACGGCUAACUUCGUGCCAGCAGCCGCGGUAAGACGAAGGUGGCGACCGUUGUUCGGAAUCACUGGGCAUAAAGAGCACGUAGGCGGCAAAGUAAGUCGGGUGUGAAAUCCCUCGGCCCAACCGAGGAACUGCGCCCGAAACUACCUUGCUUGAGGAUGGAAGGGGAGCGUGGAAUUCCUGGUGGAGCGGUGAAAUGCGUUGAUAUCAGGAGGAACACCGGCGGCGAAGGCGACGCUCUGGUCCAUUUCUGACGCUGAGGUGCGAAAGCCAGGGGAGCAAACGGGAUUAGAUACCCGUGUAGUCC
RNAcentral lists this ribosomal RNA (449 nucleotides) under uncultured bacterium. Its description in RNAcentral is "bacterial SSU rRNA". It matches the Rfam family "Bacterial small subunit ribosomal RNA", at positions 355 to 796 of the family's 1533-position model. The record is from RNAcentral.